RNAcentral lists this small RNA (282 nucleotides) under Bos taurus (domestic cattle). Lineage: Eukaryota; Metazoa; Chordata; Mammalia; Artiodactyla; Bovidae. The record is from RNAcentral.
GUCAAAAAUGGAUCCAGUCUCCUACAUACUUCCAUGCUCAGUAAUGGAACCCCUUGUAAGCAUUCCUAAGGGCAACUAGGAUAAACAACUCAAAGAUGCUUCUCCCAGGAUAAGAGAGGUUGAUUGAGAAGCUAUAAGUGUGCUUAACUUAGAGAUAACCCUUAAGAUCACAUACCAUUCCUGUUAACACAUCAGAAGAUGGACAGCUCUACCAGGUAUUUACAGACAAUGUCUGCUUCUGCCUAAGGCCAAGCUUAUAGAUCCAAGUGGCAGGUGGGAUCU